This 74-nucleotide transfer RNA is filed under the name Candidatus Uhrbacteria bacterium. RNAcentral's name for it is "tRNA-Pro". It matches the Rfam family "tRNA". Rfam says of the family: Transfer RNA (tRNA) molecules are approximately 80 nucleotides in length. Their secondary structure includes four short double-helical elements and three loops (D, anti-codon, and T loops). Lineage: Bacteria; Candidatus Uhriibacteriota. The record is from RNAcentral.
CGGGCUAUGGCGCAGCUGGCUAGCGCGCUUGCAUGGGGUGCAAGAGGUCGCGGGUUCAAAUCCCGCUAGCCCGA